RNAcentral lists this transfer RNA (72 nucleotides) under Clostridioides difficile. RNAcentral describes it as "tRNA-Glu". It matches the Rfam family "tRNA". Rfam says of the family: Transfer RNA (tRNA) molecules are approximately 80 nucleotides in length. Their secondary structure includes four short double-helical elements and three loops (D, anti-codon, and T loops). The record is from RNAcentral. Lineage: Bacteria; Bacillati; Bacillota; Clostridia; Peptostreptococcales; Peptostreptococcaceae.
GGCUCGUUGGUCAAGAGGUUAAGACACCGCCCUUUCACGGCGGUAACAGGGGUUAAAUUCCCCUACGAAUCC